AGCCUGAUGCAGCCAUGCCGCGUGUGUGAAGAAGGCCUUCGGGUUGUAAAGCACUUUCAGUCGUGAGGAAGGUGGUAGUGUUAAUAGCACUAUCAUUUGACGUUAGCGACAGAAGAAGCACCGGCUAACUCCGUGCCAGCAGCCGCGGUAAUACGGAGGGUGCGAGCGUUAAUCGGAAUUACUGGGCGUAAAGCGCAUGCAGGUGGUUUGUUAAGUCAGAUGUGAAAGCCCGGGGCUCAACCUCGGAAUAGCAUUUGAAACUGGCAGACUAGAGUACUGUAGAGGGGGGUAGAAUUUCAGGUGUAGCGGUGAAAUGCGUAGAGAUCUGAAGGAAUACCGGUGGCGAAGGCGGCCCCCUGGACAGAUACUGACACUCAGAUGCGAAAGCGUGGGGAGCAAACAGGAUUAGAUACCCUGGUAGUCCACGCCGUAAACGAUGUCUACUUGGAGGUUGUGGCCUUGAGCCGUGGCUUUCGGAGCUAACGCGUUAAGUAGACCGCCUGGGGAGUACGGUCGCAAGAUUAAAACUCAAAUGAAUUGACGGGGGCCCGCACAAGCGGUGGAGCAUGUGGUUUAAUUCGAUGCAACGCGAAGAACCUUACCUACUCUUGACAUCCAGAGA
This 622-nucleotide ribosomal RNA is filed under the name Vibrio sp. RNAcentral's name for it is "bacterial SSU rRNA". It matches the Rfam family "Bacterial small subunit ribosomal RNA", at positions 380 to 994 of the family's 1533-position model. The record is from RNAcentral. Lineage: Bacteria; Pseudomonadati; Pseudomonadota; Gammaproteobacteria; Vibrionales; Vibrionaceae.